CUUCACCGACCCCAACAACAACGGCCGGUCCGCUGCACGGUCCCGCCCAUAGGUAGCCAGUAGUGCCUGGGCCUC
This 75-nucleotide antisense RNA is filed under the name Streptantibioticus cattleyicolor NRRL 8057 = DSM 46488. RNAcentral describes it as "Streptomyces cattleya NRRL 8057 ASpks TB sRNA". It matches the Rfam family "ASpks TB sRNA". The record is from Rfam by way of RNAcentral. Lineage: Bacteria; Bacillati; Actinomycetota; Actinomycetes; Kitasatosporales; Streptomycetaceae.